RNAcentral lists this transfer-messenger RNA (422 nucleotides) under bacterium. It matches the Rfam family "transfer-messenger RNA". From Rfam's summary of the family: Bacterial tmRNA, also known as 10Sa RNA or SsrA, is named for its dual tRNA and mRNA-like properties. Its role is to liberate the mRNA from a stalled ribosome. To accomplish this part of the tmRNA is used as a reading frame that ends in a translation stop signal. The record is from RNAcentral.
GGGGAUGAAUUGACUCGACGUAAAGGGCUCUUUAAAAACUGCAGGCCGACUUCGGUUAAAAGUCGUAAAACAGGACCAAAAAACCAAAUGUCAGCAAUUUAGUUGACAAGGCGAGGGGUUUUGUAGGUACGCUCGCGCGUGCUUUCAGUCCCGUCGCUCCGGCUUACGCUCUAGCAUAAAACACUUUGACGUAAGUAGGCAUCUAUAAGGCUUUCUCCUGAUGGGGUCUUGUAGGUGAAAACUCAGUCAGGAUGAGGAAAUUUGAGGAGUCAGUAUCAAAUUUUCAAAUAUUUUAGCUGGCUAGCCUUUAGUUUUCCCGUCGGGCGGAUAAGUUGAAGGCGAAAUUCUAAAGCGCGACUAAGCUUGUAGAAGUUUUAAAGUUUUCUUUGCGGACUCCGGUUCACUGCCGGACAUCUCCACUC